GAGUUUGAUCCUGGCUCAGGAUGAACGCUAGCGGGAGGCUUAACACAUGCAAGUCGAGGGGUAAAUGGUAGCAAUACUAUGAGACCGGCGAACGGGUGCGUAACGCGUAUGCAACUUACCUUAUGCAGGGGGAUAGCCCGUGGAAACGCGGAUUAAUAUCCCAUAGAUCAGUAAUAUCGCAUGGUAUAACUGGUAAAACUCAGGUGGCAUAAGAUGGGCAUGCGUCUGAUUAGCUAGUUGGUAGGGUAACGGCCUACCAAGGCGACGAUCAGUAGGGGUUCUGAGAGGAUUAACCCCCACACUGGUACUGAGACACGGACCAGACUCCUACGGGAGGCAGCAGUGAGGAAUAUUGGUCAAUGGGCGCAAGCCUGAACCAGCCAUCCCGCGUGAAGGAAGAAGGCCCUACGGGUUGUAAACUUCUUUUCUGUUUGAAGAAUAAGCUCGUCGAGACGAGUGAUGCCGGUAGGACAGGAAUAAGCAUCGGCUAACUCCGUGCCAGCAGCCGCGGUAA
Molecule: ribosomal RNA, 514 nt
Filed under: uncultured Bacteroidales bacterium
Lineage: Bacteria; Pseudomonadati; Bacteroidota; Bacteroidia; Bacteroidales
Description: bacterial SSU rRNA
Rfam family: Bacterial small subunit ribosomal RNA
Source: RNAcentral